AAUAUCUUGCAUGUUACAGAUUUCACUGCUCCCACCAGCUUGGAGACAACAUGUGGUUCUUGACAACUCUGCUCCUUUGGGUUCCAGUUGAUGGGCAAGUGGACACCACAAAGGCAGUGAUCACUUUGCAGCCUCCAUGGGUCAGCGUGUUCCAAGAGGAAACCGUAACCUUGCACUGUGAGGUGCUCCAUCUGCCUGGGAGCAGCUCCACACAGUGGUUUCUCAAUGGCACAGCCACUCAGACCUCGACCCCCAGCUACAGAAUCACCUCUGCCAGUGUCAAUGACAGUGGUGAAUACAGGUGCCAGAGAGGUCUCUCAGGGCGAAGUGACCCCAUACAGCUGGAAAUCCACAGAGGCUGGCCACUACUGCAGGUCUCCAGCAGAGUCUUCACGGAAGGAGAACCUCUGGCCUUGAGGUGUCAUGCGUGGAAGGAUAAGCUGGUGUACAAUGUGCUUUACUAUCGAAAUGGCAAAGCCUUUAAGUUUUUCCACUGGAAUUCUAACCUCACCAUUCUGAAAACCAACAUAAGUCACAAUGGCACCUACCAUUGCUCAGGCAAGGGAAAGCAUCACUACACAUCAGCAGGAAUAUCACAAUACACUGUGAAAGAGCUAUUUCCAGCUCCAGUGCUGAAUGCAUCUGUGACAUCCCCACUCCUGGGGGGAAUCUGGUCACCCUGAGCUGUGAAACAAAGUUGCUCUUGCAGAGGCCUGGUUUGCAGCUUUACUUCUCCUUCUACAUGGGCAGCAAGACCCUGCGAGGCAGGAACACAUCCUCUGAAUACUAAAUACUAACUGCUAGAAGAGAAGACUCUGGGUUAUACUGGUGCGAGGCUGCCACAGAGGAUGGAAAUGUCCUUAAGCGCAGCCCUGAGUUGGAGCUUCAAGUGCUUGGCCUCCAGUUACCAACUCCUGUCUGGUUUCAUGUCCUUUUCUAUCUGGCAGUGGGAAUAAUGUUUUUAGUGAACACUGUUCUCUGGGUGACAAUACGUAAAGAACUGAAAAGAAAGAAAAAGUGGAAUUUAGAAAUCUCUUUGGAUUCUGGUCAUGAGAAGAAGGUAAUUUCCAGCCUUCAAGAAGACAGACAUUUAGAAGAAGAGCUGAAAUGUCAGGAACAAAAAGAAGAACAGCUGCAGGAAGGGGUGCACCGGAAGGAGCCCCAGGGGGCCACGUAGCAGCGGCUCAGUGGGUGGCCAUCGAUCUGGACCGUCCCCUGUCCACUUGCUCCCCGUGAGCACUGCGUACAAACAUCCAAAAGUUCAACAACACCAGAACUGUGUGUCUCAUGGUAUAUAACUCUUAAGGCAAAUAAAUGAACUGACUUCAACUGGGA
RNA transcript from Homo sapiens (human), 1335 nucleotides. It is a transcript of the gene named Fc gamma receptor Ic, pseudogene, with no coding region annotated. The record is from RefSeq and is marked reviewed. The transcript has 6 exons. NCBI's taxonomy places the organism in Eukaryota, Metazoa, Chordata, Mammalia, Primates, Hominidae.